This 530-nucleotide long non-coding RNA is filed under the name Mytilus galloprovincialis (Mediterranean mussel). Lineage: Eukaryota; Metazoa; Mollusca; Bivalvia; Mytilida; Mytilidae. The record is from RNAcentral.
GCCCUAUAUCAUAAGAACUUUGGUAGAUACAAAUCUGUCAUAAUUUUCCGUGUAUAAUGCCCGUUGCCAUGGAAGCAUAAGCACAGUAGGUAUUUUCAUUCUGAGGAACUACCCCUUCUGGUCAGUGUUUAAAAAAAAACGUUUCACUUCUGUGAAUGGUUUUUCUGGGUAUUCAGCAAAUGAUUACACAUUUCCUUAUCACCCUUUGCUGUAAUUCUAAAACAAAGCAAAUCAUUAUCUUUUGUUAUUUUUGUACUUUUUAUUUUUUUUUUUAAAUCUAAACCAAAUAGUCUCCUUGGUUGAAUUUGUAGUAUGCCUCGGCAACUGGAAUGCGGGAGCUCUAAAGUUUUUGGUGUCCGUAUCUCUCUCACAAUAUGUCUGUUUGUUAACAUUUUUUUUUUAAUUUUGAGAUUUGAAAAAAAGAAGUUAAAAGACCAAAUCAAGUACGAAUUUAAAGAGCCAAAUCUAUUAACAGUUACUUUAUAGUUAUGACCAUAUGAAUUAUAAUUCAUGUCAUCACAGAAGUGCUG